Molecule: long non-coding RNA, 318 nt
Filed under: Medicago truncatula (barrel medic)
Lineage: Eukaryota; Viridiplantae; Streptophyta; Magnoliopsida; Fabales; Fabaceae
Description: long non-coding RNA (MTRU_LNC006083)
Source: RNAcentral
CAGUGUCGUUACCAGAAGUCAUCAAAUCAACAAACUUCAAAUCUUCUUUCUGAGCUUCUCGGAUACUGUUCAAGAAAUCACUAUCAAUUUUCAACAUUCCCAACUGUAUACUCUGGGGUGACAAUUCACAGACAAGACUCAUGUCUCUGAACUGUUCUAACAAUUCAAACUCCUUCACCAUCAAAGCAGACAUGUGCAAAGUUUUCCUACUCAAAGCAUCAGCAACCACAUUGGCCUUACCAGGAUGGUAAUUCAAGCCAAAAUCAAAAUCCUUCAGUAACUCUAACCACCUCCUCUGCCUCAUGUUCAGUUCUUUCU